RNAcentral lists this long non-coding RNA (496 nucleotides) under Homo sapiens (human). Its description in RNAcentral is "HSALNT0056848". The record is from RNAcentral. Lineage: Eukaryota; Metazoa; Chordata; Mammalia; Primates; Hominidae.
GUAAGUACUGAGAACUGCAUUCCCAGAGUUUUAACAACUUACAGAAAAGUGAAUUGAAUUUCUGAAGCCUGGGAAAUGAUAAGAGAGAGGUGAAAGAGAGAUAGUGUGCUAAUGACCCUAGAGAGUUUGAAAAACGUUAUGGUCAGGUCUUUUGAGAGAAUCUCCUAAAAGGAGAUAAUGGGCAUGGCUGAAUCUGUAAAGAAAGUAUCUUGCUAUCAAGUGCCUGAGAGCAUGGCAAUCAAGAACCAGCGGCAGUCAGCCAGAACCUGCCCCUGAAUAAUUUAAUGGAGAACUGGCAUCACUACUUGAUCGAGUCUUCCAGCUCCUGAACACAGACAUACAAAGAGAUGCCACCACACAUCUGUGGACAUAAAAGAAAGACCAUAUGAGGACAUAGAGUAAAAGCAGUCACACCUGACAGCCAAGGAGAGAAGCCUCAGAAGAAACCACCCUGCUGCUGACGCCUUUAUUUUGGACUUCUAGCCUCCAAAACUGU